GUUUCGUUAGCUCAGCUGGGAGAGCAUCUGGGUCACAACCAGAAGGUCGACGGUUCGAACCCGCCACGGAACACCA
This 76-nucleotide transfer RNA is filed under the name Eubacterium sp. RNAcentral's name for it is "tRNA-Val". It matches the Rfam family "tRNA". Rfam says of the family: Transfer RNA (tRNA) molecules are approximately 80 nucleotides in length. Their secondary structure includes four short double-helical elements and three loops (D, anti-codon, and T loops). The record is from RNAcentral. Lineage: Bacteria; Bacillati; Bacillota; Clostridia; Eubacteriales; Eubacteriaceae. RNAcentral also lists the same sequence under 2 other names.